Molecule: transfer RNA, 76 nt
Filed under: Mycobacterium rhizamassiliense
Lineage: Bacteria; Bacillati; Actinomycetota; Actinomycetes; Mycobacteriales; Mycobacteriaceae
Description: Mycobacterium sp. AB57 partial tRNA-Ser
Rfam family: tRNA
About the family: Transfer RNA (tRNA) molecules are approximately 80 nucleotides in length. Their secondary structure includes four short double-helical elements and three loops (D, anti-codon, and T loops). Further hydrogen bonds mediate the characteristic L-shaped molecular structure. tRNAs have two regions of fundamental functional importance: the anti-codon, which is responsible for specific mRNA codon recognition, and the 3' end, to which the tRNAs corresponding amino acid is attached (by aminoacyl-tRNA synthetases). tRNAs cope with the degeneracy of the genetic code in two manners: having more than one tRNA (with a specific anti-codon) for a particular amino acid; and 'wobble' base-pairing, i.e. permitting non-standard base-pairing at the 3rd anti-codon position.
Source: RNAcentral
CUGGUAGCUCAAUGGAUAGAGCAAUCGCCCGCUAAGCGAAAGGUUGCCGGUUCGAGUCCGGCCCAGCCCGCCCAUC